Molecule: ribosomal RNA, 260 nt
Filed under: uncultured bacterium
Lineage: Bacteria
Description: partial 16S ribosomal RNA
Rfam family: Bacterial small subunit ribosomal RNA
Source: RNAcentral
CCACGCCGUAAACGAUGAGUGCUUGGUGUAGCGGGUAUCGACCCCUGCUGUGCCGAAGUCAACACAUUAAGCACUCCGCCUGGGGAGUACGGUCGCAAGACUGAAACUCAAAGGAAUUGACGGGGGCCCGCACAAGCGGUGGAGCAUGUGGUUUAAUUCGAAGCAACGCGCAGAACCUUACCUGGGUUUGAACUGCACAGGAAAGUCUCAGAGAUGAGAGCCCCUCUUCGGAGGUCUGUGUAGAGGUGCUGCAUGGCUGU